UACGUAGGGUGCAAGCGUUGUCCGGAAUUAUUGGGCGUAAAGAGCUCGUAGGCGGUCUGUCGCGUCGGCUGUGAAAACCCGGGGCUCAACCCCGGGCCUGCAGUCGAUACGGGCAGACUAGAGGUAGGUAGGGGAGAAUGGAAUUCCCGGUGUAGCGGUGAAAUGCGCAGAUAUCGGGAGGAACACCGGUGGCGAAGGCGGUUCUCUGGGCCUUACCUGACGCUGAGGAGCGAAAGCGUGGGGAGCGAACAGG
Molecule: ribosomal RNA, 253 nt
Filed under: uncultured bacterium
Lineage: Bacteria
Description: partial 16S ribosomal RNA
Rfam family: Bacterial small subunit ribosomal RNA
Source: RNAcentral